This 142-nucleotide ribosomal RNA is filed under the name Metazoa environmental sample. RNAcentral's name for it is "partial small subunit ribosomal RNA". It matches the Rfam family "Eukaryotic small subunit ribosomal RNA", at positions 1296 to 1461 of the family's 1831-position model. Lineage: Eukaryota; Metazoa. The record is from RNAcentral.
AGUUGGUGGAGCGAUUUGUCUGGUUUAUUCCGAUAACGAACGAGACUCUGGCCUACUAAAUAGUGAGUAGAUUCUGUUAGUCUACAACACUUCUUAGAGGGACAAGUGGUGUUCAGCCACACGAGAUUGAGCAAUAACAGGU